AGCUUUGCACACUGGCAGUAUCAUAGCCAUGAGGUUUAUCUAAAGCACGAUUAUUGCUAAUUGAAAAUUUUUCCCAAUACCCCGCCGAGACGACUUGCAAUAUAGUCAGUAUUGGUAAUUUUUGACAGUCUCCACAGAGA
Molecule: small nuclear RNA, 140 nt
Organism: Aotus nancymaae (Ma's night monkey)
Lineage: Eukaryota; Metazoa; Chordata; Mammalia; Primates; Aotidae
Gene: U4
Rfam family: U4 spliceosomal RNA
About the family: U4 small nuclear RNA (U4 snRNA) is a component of the major U2-dependent spliceosome. The structure of U4 snRNA from yeast and human has been reported. U4 snRNA presents a k-turn RNA motif in the 5p-SL related to recognition of Snu13 protein.
Source: Ensembl